UACGUAGGGGGCAAGCGUUGUCCGGAAUCAUUGGGCGUAAAGAGCGUGUAGGCGGCCAGAAAAGUCCGCUGUGAAAACUCGAGGCUCAACUUCGAGCUGUCGGUGGAAACUUUCUGGCUAGAGUCCGGAAGAGGAGAAUGGAAUUCCUGGUGUAGCGGUGAAAUGCGCAGAUAUCCGGAGGAACACCGGUGGCGAAGGCGGCUUCCUGGACCGACACUGACGCUGAGGCGCGAAAGCUAGGGGAGCAAACGGG
This 253-nucleotide ribosomal RNA is filed under the name uncultured bacterium. RNAcentral describes it as "partial 16S ribosomal RNA". It matches the Rfam family "Bacterial small subunit ribosomal RNA", at positions 524 to 776 of the family's 1533-position model. The record is from RNAcentral.